GCUUCGGUAGAGUGAAGGUUAUGAAAGCGGCGGACGGGUGAGUAACGCGUGGGUAACCUGCCCUAUACAGAGGGAUAGCAGCUGGAAACGGCUAUUAAUACCUCAUAAACACACAGUGUCGCAUGGCACAGGGUGAAAAGAUUUAUCGGUAUAGGAUGGACCCGCGUCUGAUUAGCUAGUUGGUGAGGUAAUGGCUCACCAAGGCGACGAUCAGUAGCCGACCUGAGAGGGUGAUCGGCCACACUGGGACUGAGACACGGCCCAGACUCCUACGGGAGGCAGCAGUGGGGAAUAUUGCACAAUGGGCGCAAGCCUGAUCCAGCAAUGCCGCGUGGGUGAAGAAGGCCUGCGGGUUGUAAAGCCCUUUCGGCUGGGAAGAAAAGCUGUUAGCGAAUAGCUGACAGUCUUGACGUUACCAGAGGAAGAAGCACCGGCAAACUCUGUGCCAGCAGCCGCGGUAAUACAGAGGGUGCGAGCGUUAAUCGGAAUUACUGGGCGUAAAGGGUGCGUAGGCGGUUACUUAAGUCGGGUGUGAAAUCCCUGGGCUUAACCUAGGAAUUGCACUCGAUACUGUGUAGCUAGAGUAUGGUAGAGGGUAGUGGAAUUCCGGGUGUAGCGGUGAAAUGCGUAGAUAUCCGGAGGAACACCAGUGGCGAAGGCGGCUACCUGGACCAAUACUGACGCUGAGGCACGAAAGCGUGGGGAGCAAACAGGAUUAGAUACCCUGGUAGUCCACGCCCUAAACGAUGAGAACUAGCUGUUGGGAGUAACUGACUCUUAGUAGCGAAGCAAACGCGGUAAGUUCUCCGCCUGGGGAGUACGGCCGCAAGGUUAAAACUCAAAUGAAUUGACGGGGGCCCGCACAAGCGGUGGAGCAUGUGGUUUAAUUCGAUGCAACCCGAAGAACCUUACCUGGCCUUGACAUCCUGCGAAUCCCUGAGAGAUUAGGGGAGUGCCUUCCGGGAGCGCGGAGACAGGUGCUGCAUGGCUGUCGUCAGCUCGUGUCGUGGAGAUGUUGGGGUUAAGUCCCGCAACGAG
Molecule: ribosomal RNA, 1038 nt
Filed under: uncultured bacterium
Lineage: Bacteria
Description: bacterial SSU rRNA
Rfam family: Bacterial small subunit ribosomal RNA
Source: RNAcentral